Molecule: long non-coding RNA, 1889 nt
Organism: Mytilus californianus (California mussel)
Lineage: Eukaryota; Metazoa; Mollusca; Bivalvia; Mytilida; Mytilidae
Exons: 2
Source: RefSeq, a predicted model, not a curated record
GACACUCCGUUAAUUUUAUGGACAACAUCACGAAUUGGUUGAUCUUAACUAACUAACGACGUUUUUACCACGUCUUAGAUUGUGGUUUAUCAUCUACAUCGUCUGUCUGCUAAGUACCGAACGUGACCCGAAUAUGACUGUUUUGCCGAUUGUAAAUACGCAUGCUAUACGACGUGUCUCGGUAUUUAUAGAUCCAACAAUCAUGUAUUUAGUUAUGAUGUUUCUUUCCUAAGUACCGUUGGAUAUUGUUUUAUUAUUCUUCAUGUCAAAAUGCUAGAUUUUGAUUGGUUGAUAGGAGGGAGACAAUUUACUCUAUCCCAUGGCAAACACUCUAUUACCCUUCACAAAGACGCUUGAUCAAGUGUACGCUUUAAUAAAUACUGAUGAUUGUUAUGUACAAGACGUCACAGUUUAUUUCUUUGAAUUUGAAAUUUAAUAGACAGUAAUAACAGAACAUUCAGUUUAAUGAAUUAAAUAACACAUAUCGGAGAGUGUGAUAGAGCAGAUUGUUACCCCUCGAAAAGACAUUGUCAACCUUGGCUUGAAAUUUUAAGACUGCGUUUUUUUGUGUUUUUUUGUGUUUGUUUUUUUGUGUACUUUAUUUUUUUUUUUUUUUUUUUUUGUGGGGGGUAUAAUGCAUAAACUAUUCUGAAUUUGAGAAGGUUAUAUAAGCUAACUGUUUCAUUUAACAAAGUUGCAACUUAAUAGAAAACGGGAUUUCCAUUUUAAACUAAAUGUGAAAAUAUGUCAGCUGUGCUAAGGUUCUAAGUUUUGAUCGAAACAUUUAUCAAGUGCGUCAUUAAAUAAAAAAAAAAAACCUGCGAUGUACAUUUACCAAGGACGAUUAUAUAAUACUGAUGGCGUGAUUAUAUACGAAAACAUAAUAUCACUUUACAGCAUUAACAAUACAAUAUAUUUAUAGUUCUCUUUAAAUGGACAAAAAUAUAUAAAUCACCAUAAAACUUAAAAAUGUCAAAUCAUAACUUUCAUAAGAUUAACAAAGUACAAUACUGAGAAUCGUCUUAAUGUUGUAUUUUUCCUGAUUCCAAGUAUUCAUAAAGAAAGUCUGUUCAUAUUAUGUUACAUUUGUAAGUGCAUUGGCAAUUAUUAUCCAUAAAACAUUUAACAUCUCAUAUACCGAUCAAGAAGACACGAAAGCAGGGAACAAGAAAAGACUGAUAGAAUGGCUUGACUUCCAAAAAGAACGAGGCCGGGUGCGUCGACACGGUAAGCGGCUCCUGCUAUAUGGAGAUGAAAGCCAAAUUAAAGAUGCUCAGCUUCUCAUAGGAGUAUAUUCACAGCAUCAACUAAUUGUUCAUAAUAUUAAGCAUCAGAUUAGGAAACAGAUAUCAUUUCUGACCGGGAGAAACUCAACAGAGGCUUGCAUUUUCUUUGAAAUGGAAAGUAUCCAUCAUUUAGGAACCAAUUGAAUCUGGCAUGGGAUGAUGUAUCAAAAAGUACAAUGGCUUUUUCUACAAAAUAUCAUCAGAAAUUAUUGAUUUGAUUUUGAACUAUAUUGUACCUGCACAAUACAAGUCGAUAAAGUGUUCUGAUCUGUAGUAGAAAAGAGGAAAACAGACAAAACAGUCAAUAUUACAACAGGAUGUUUUGACUGAAGCUCUUGUUGAUGCAUACUUACUAACUUAGACCUGAAUAGUCAUCCGACCUGGCUUCAGAUCUUAUUACUGUUUGCAUGUAUUCAGACCGUUUUGCAUGUUUCCCUUUAUUGCAGACUUCGCUAAUAUUAUAUGACAGUAAAAUUAUAAGCAAACAGCCUGAAUAAUUAUAUAACCAUUUUAAUGAAAAUGUCUGCACCACAGUUGAACCAUAUAUCUGUAUAUUUGUUUUUAUUCAUGUAGGUAUAAAAUAAAUUUUAUUUCCAUUUGAAA